Molecule: long non-coding RNA, 1749 nt
Organism: Canis lupus familiaris (dog)
Lineage: Eukaryota; Metazoa; Chordata; Mammalia; Carnivora; Canidae
Exons: 4
Source: RefSeq, a predicted model, not a curated record
UGUCUUUAAUAUCCCUAAUGGAGGUUUUCUGUAUUACUCUCAUAGUUAUUUAGUCUACACUGCCCUAUUCUCCUUUAAUUCUUCCUGGGCAUAUUCCUUGUUAUCUCCAUUAUAUUGUGAUUUCAAUGAUAGUAACAGAAGAGUCAUUUUGCUGUUUCAUCUCAUCUUGAGACCUAAUUAACCAUUCAUAGGUUUGCUUCUUGACACACCUUGAAACUCCACAGAAUACUCCUAUUAUUGAUGAUCAAAAGGAAAGGCAAAAACACAUGGCAUCUGGAACAGACUGAUGAGACACUAUGGACCACUCUCAAAAAAUAGAGGCAGUCACAAAGCUUGGGACUUUGCAUUUUUCAAGGAGUACACAAAAUUACUCCUCUCCUUGGAAAUAUUCCCAUGCCCAUAUUAGUGCAUGAACUCAUCUACUGCCACAGUUGACUGGGUAUGGAAAAAAACUCCAGAACUACGAUGAGCAAAGAAGAAUCCCUUCCUAGAACUUUGGAAAUGAAACUAAGAAAUUACAACUUUAAUUAAUCAAAUUAAUACUUUGAUCAAAAUAAACAUUAACCCCAAGUUUUUGGUGGGCACACACUCUCAGACCCUAGGGAAUGGGAAGAAAGCCAAUGUGUAGAUGAGAGGUGCAGGAUCUUUAGUUUUCAAAUCCCUGAUUCUAGAUGUUCAUGAGGCCAAACUUCAUUCUCCCCCAUGGUUUCUGGGAUGUGCCAAAGUGUUCUCACAAUUGCCUCCCUUUGACUUCACACCCAGUUUAAGAUGGACUUCUGCUACUUGGAACAAAAGAUCCCACAUAUAGCCGGCACUGUGCUUAAUGUUUUCACAUUAAAUUCUCAUUUGUAGCUCUUGACUCUGCAAAAGCCCUUCAGGGAACACAUCAGUAUUUUCCUUUACAAGACAAAAACAAAAGCUCAAAAGGUUAAGUAAUAUAUUCAAGGUCACACAACUUGUAAAUGACAGAGCUGAGACUUGCAGCCAAAAUUACAAACCUAGUUACAUUAAAAUACACUCUUACACCAAAAUUUUAUUGGUUUUGGGGAGGUAAAAGCAUGUAUUUCCACCACGUUUAACCAGAAGUUAACUUUCUAAUAUGCAAACCUAUCAUGCUACUUUUUCUGCGGAAGAAUAUUCCAGUGGCUAUUACUACUGCUCCAACAUAGCUUAGAAAGACUGGCAUGAUCCAGCCCCUGCCUGCCUCUCCCGCUCUGUCUCAUGCAUCUUCAUCCAGCCGACUCUUUACUCUAGCCAGCCUGAAAGUGUUUCAGUUCUUUAAAAGCACCAUGAGCUCUCUCAGUGUCACUCCCUCAUGCAUACAUUUCUUUCUUUCCACGAGUAAUUUUCUCUGGUCUCAUCUUAGCCAUCUUUUCCCAAAGGAAUGAGUUGUUCCUCUGACACCUUACCAGGUCUGGGUCAGGUACCAUGCCUAAGUGCUCUUGUAUUGCCCUGAGCUUCCUGUGUCAGAUCCCUAAUUCAACAAAACGUAUCUGAGGCUCCUAUGGGCCAUGUCACAUCUUCCUAUUGUAUCGACUGUACUGAGCCCAGGGUCUGAUAUGGAACAGAUAUUCAAUGAUUAUUUAUUAAGUGAGUGAAUGAAUUUGCUGUGUUACUCUUUGAAUGUAUUACCCUCUCAUUAAAAAAAAAAUGUAUAACUGUUUUUCAAUCAAAUUCUAAAAUCUAAAAUAUCUCUAGUGCUAAGACUACAUAAUCAAUACAUGAUCUUUACUGUGUUUACUCUCUGUU